Molecule: ribosomal RNA, 207 nt
Filed under: uncultured Syntrophorhabdus sp.
Lineage: Bacteria; Pseudomonadati; Thermodesulfobacteriota; Syntrophorhabdia; Syntrophorhabdales; Syntrophorhabdaceae
Description: partial 16S ribosomal RNA
Rfam family: Bacterial small subunit ribosomal RNA
Source: RNAcentral
CGCGUAGGUGGUUGUGAUAGUCAGAUGUGAAAUCCUUUGGCUUAACUGAAGAACUGCAUCUGAAACUUCACAACUCGAGUACAGGAGAGGGAAGCGGAAUUCCCGGUGUAGAGGUGAAAUUCGUAGAUAUCGGGAGGAACACCAGUGGCGAAGGCGGUUUCCUGGCCUGAUACUGACACUGAGGCGCGAAAGCGUGGGGAGCAAACA